GACGAACGCUGGCGGCGUGCUUAACACAUGCAAGUCGAACGGAAAGGCCCUGCUUUUGUGGGGUGCUCGAGUGGCGAACGGGUGAGUAACACGUGAGUAACCUGCCCUUGACUUUGGGAUAACUUCAGGAAACUGGGGCUAAUACCGGAUAGGAUCUCCUGCUGCAUGUUGGGGGUUGGAAAGUUUCGGCGGUUGGGGAUGGACUCGCGGCUUAUCCGCUUGUUGGUGGGGUAGUGGCUUACCAAGGCUUUGACGGGUAGCCGGCCUGGGAGGGUGACCGGCGACAAUGGGACUGAGAUACGGCCCAGACUCGUACGGGAGGCAGCAGUGGAGAAUAUUGCACAAUGGGCGGAAGCCAGAUGCAGCAACGCCGCGUGCGGGAUGACGGGCUUCGGGUUGUAAACCGAUGUGGACUGUGACGAAGAGAGAGUGACGGUAAUGGGUAAAGAAGCACCGGCUAACUACGUG
This 468-nucleotide ribosomal RNA is filed under the name uncultured bacterium. Its description in RNAcentral is "partial 16S ribosomal RNA". It matches the Rfam family "Bacterial small subunit ribosomal RNA", at positions 28 to 507 of the family's 1533-position model. The record is from RNAcentral.